This is a long non-coding RNA of Capsicum annuum, 907 nucleotides long. RefSeq lists it as uncharacterized. NCBI's taxonomy places the organism in Eukaryota, Viridiplantae, Streptophyta, Magnoliopsida, Solanales, Solanaceae. The record is from RefSeq and is a predicted model, not a curated record. The transcript is spliced from 3 exons.
AUAAUUGAAAACGGAUAUUUAUUUUAUGGUAAAAAAAAACCCGGGAGUAGGAAAUCAGUCCGUACGAAGCCCCCUUUCAGUGAAAAUUGAAAAUAUCAGAAACUUCCAAUGGAGAAGAGAAGAUGCAUAGCAGUAAGGAUGCACACAAAUGAAUUUUUCACUUUUCUUCGACAAGAUAUUUUGUUCGUUAACAAGCGCUGAUGCAGGUCUAACUUUUUUACCUAAAGCUAGACUAUGAAGGCUGACAAUUGAAAUGCGCCUUUUCUCCGUGUUAACUGUUACUCGGUGGACAACACUUUUGUAUAUCCCAUUGCUCAAUACUUCCAUGUGAUCUCCCAGCAGAACGACGAGAGCUCCUUUAAUGAGUGGAACUGAAUGCCACUUUUCACCUCGGUCCAUGAUUUGCAAACCCUGAUGAUUUUGUAGAAUGGUGGAUACCAUACCAUAAUCUGUGUGUGGUGGCAACCCUAGUGUAAGAUCUGGCUCAGGACAUGCUGGAUAGCAAUUAACUGCCAUGACCUGGGAGCCUUCUGCAAUGUCUUCAUGUGACAUGGACACUUGACGACAAGUAGUACCUGGAAGAAACCAAGUUCCUUGCAAGCCAGGUGUACAUCGUAGAUUAGCUGAGGCCGAAGAAGAGGCUGUCGCAGAUAGGAUAGAUCCACGACUGGCAAGCAUGUGUUACACAGGGUUCCAUCGGGGCGUAGAGCUGGUGGAAGAACGUAACGCUUGGGAACAUAGGUUAGUCCCUCUUCAUCAAGUGUCAUGGCACUAGUGAAUGAACAAUUUGGUGAUGGUGAACUCUCUCUCAUUCUUCCCACCAUAUUAUGCUCUUUAUCAUGACUUUUAACUCCCUAUUUAUAAGCAGGAAAAUAUGAAGAUAUAUAUGAUUUUUUGGAGUUUUUAA